Molecule: non-coding RNA, 1874 nt
Organism: Jatropha curcas
Lineage: Eukaryota; Viridiplantae; Streptophyta; Magnoliopsida; Malpighiales; Euphorbiaceae
Source: RefSeq, a predicted model, not a curated record
AAAUCAAUAGAGCAGAAUAUUUUUGACUUUCCUAAACUAAUACAUGUAUACAGUAUAAAUUUAACAUUACAGAAGAAUGAAUGAUAAGAAAUUCUAUUCCUCUAAAUUAUCUUUCUUUCUAUCUUCUAUCAUUAUUUCUAUAUCAUCAGAGGGUUUCACAUCUGUUCGAGGAAUUAGUGAAAAGUGAUUAAGCUGACUAAGAUAAAUUCAGUCGUUUGAUGCUGUUAGAGGAUAAUUUCAAUAAUGGAGAUUCUUUAUCGAGGUUUGGUGCAAUUUUUAACUUGGCUUGGCUCGGCUCUCCUGGAUGAUUUCAGAGGCGGGUUUGAGAAGGGGCCAUGGUGGCAACGCCUUUUCAAUGGAUACACCAUCACAACCUGGAUGGUAGUGUUAAAAUCUUGGGUGUUCUGGACUUCUGGUCUCAUGGUUAAUGAAAUUUGCUGACAAUAUUGUCAAGGUGUAUUCAACAUGAAUGGCAGUGCUGUUGACCAUGGUUCUUUCUGUGUUCCUGUUUAAUUUCAGGCCAACAUUGCAGGUAAGUGCCCCCCCUCCCCUCCUCUCUCUCUCUCUCUCUCUCCUCGUGCACCCCUCACUGUCCCUUGUCUUACUACUAAAGUGGCUUGCCUCACUCAGCUAGGCACCCAAGUCCUCUCAUAGUGCCUAGACAAGUGCCUGGACCUGGACAUUAGGAAGGUCAGGUGCUUGCCUUAUUCAAUUGUUGGCUUACAACGUCUUUGUCCCUGGGGAGAAUGCAUCAAAAUAUUAAAUAAAAUAGAAACAAGCAGAUAUUCCACUUGCCUUUACUUAUGGCAAAAAUUACUGUCUUUUCCUUGAACAAUAAAAAGAUGGGAAAAAAGGAAAAUGCUAGAGAGGAGAAGAUUUUGGUUAAGAGGUUCCAACAAAGGCCAAUUAUUUUACUUUCCUUUUUGAAAGUUUCUGCUGCCGCGUGUUAUUUUUCCUCCAACUGGGAAGAGAUGUCUGUUUCUUUAUUUUUGUGCGGUUCGAAUUUAGUGUUCCCUUAGCUUUUGGUUUGAAAAGGAUUCUUCUCUUUUAAUGUGCCUAUCGGGCUCAUUAUUCGAUUGGAAAAAGAAGGUUUACUUUAAGUACUGUUGGGUAAUUAUGUUCAUAUUCAUAUUCUCUUUCUAACAUCAUCUGACGCUCUUUUGGGCCUUCUCUGUUCCCCAGUUUGUUUAGCAAUUGUGAGAUUCUGAUCAUAGGAUACUUCACAUUUUUUUUUCUUAUGCUGGUGCAGCUGUUCUUGGGGAUUAUUGUUUGCACCCCCAGGUAUGCUUGUGGAUCUGCCUUCCGUGAGAGAAGCAGAUCCAGAGAGUCUUGUAGAUAUUUCGGUUGAAAGAAGAACGAACUCAUGAUGCGCUAUUUCUGUUGAAAGCUAAAAAUUCUUUGGUUAGUUUUUCAGUGAACUAAAUAUUGUUAAACGGAGCAUAUAAUUCCUGGUGAAGUGCUUAGAAAAAAGCCAUUUAUUUCUCUAAUUGCCGAUAUAUUAAUAUCCUGGCUCAUCUGGCAAUUGGCAUUCUUGUAUGGCCAAAAGACGAGAGAAAAAUAUAAAUGUAUAAUAGUACUGAAAACAACAAUAUCUGGCUAUUUGAUUUCCAGUGGGGUCUUUGGCCAUCUAUUGCCGGGAGUUGCGACCACCUACCGACAGCUAUAGUAGAAGAAGUUGCAGCCAUUAUAUGUGGUCUAUAUUGCUCUGUAGUUGUUCCAUGUUCUUCAUAAGUCAUAACCAUUUGUGUUAAUAAUGCAAUGACCAUUAUAUUCAACAGUUUACUCUGCACAGUAAAUGCUCUUCAAUUGUUGAGGCAAUUAAUGCCUCCCUCCCUCAUUUUCAUAGAGGUAAUUUGUGCAGAAGAAGAUUUUGA